This 292-nucleotide ribosomal RNA is filed under the name uncultured bacterium. RNAcentral's name for it is "partial 16S ribosomal RNA". It matches the Rfam family "Archaeal small subunit ribosomal RNA", at positions 455 to 747 of the family's 1478-position model. The record is from RNAcentral.
GUGCCAGCAGCCGCGGUAAUACCCGCAGCACAAGUGGUGGUCAUUAUUAUUGGGCCUAAAGCGUCCGUAGCUGGCCUGUUAGAUGCCUGGGUAAAUCGAUGCGCUCAACGUAUCGAACUCCGGGUAGACCGGCAGGCUUGGGACCGGGAGAGGCGUGAGCUACUCGGGGGGUAGGGGUAAAAUCCUGUAAUCCUCCGGGGAGGACCAGUGGCGAAGGCGUCACGCUAGAACGGCUCCGACAGUGAGGGACGAAGCCCUGGGGCGCAAACCGGAUUAGAUACCCUAGUAGUCC